GACGAACGCUGGCGGCGUGCUUAACACAUGCAAGUCGAACGGAAAGGCCCUGCUUUUGUGGGGUGCUCGAGUGGCGAACGGGUGAGUAACACGUGAGUAACCUGCCCUUGACUUUGGGAUAACUUCAGGAAACUGGGGCUAAUACCGGAUAGGAGCUCCUGCUGCAUGGUGGGGGUUGGAAAGUUUCGGCGGGUGGGGAUGGACUCGCGGCUUAUCAGCUUGUUGGUGGGGUAGUGGCUUACCAAGGCUUUGACGGGUAGCCGGCCUGAGAGGGUGACCGGCCACAUUGGGACUGCGGUACGGCCCAGACUCCUACGGGAGGCAGCAGUGGGGAAUAUUGCACAAUGGGCGGAAGCCUGAUGCAGCAGCGCCGCGUGCGGGAUGACGGCCUUCGGGUUGUAAACCGCUUUCGCCUGUGACGAAGCGUGAGUGACGGUAAUGGGUAAAGAAGCACCGGCUAACUACGUG
Molecule: ribosomal RNA, 468 nt
Filed under: uncultured bacterium
Lineage: Bacteria
Description: partial 16S ribosomal RNA
Rfam family: Bacterial small subunit ribosomal RNA
Source: RNAcentral